Ictidomys tridecemlineatus (thirteen-lined ground squirrel) is the source of this 71-nucleotide non-coding RNA. NCBI's taxonomy places the organism in Eukaryota, Metazoa, Chordata, Mammalia, Rodentia, Sciuridae. The record is from Rfam.
GUGGCUGUGGCUCAGUGGUAGAGCACUUGUCUUGCACGUGCAUGACCCUGGGUUUGAUCCUCAGCACCACA